This 479-nucleotide ribosomal RNA is filed under the name uncultured bacterium. RNAcentral's name for it is "partial 16S ribosomal RNA". It matches the Rfam family "Bacterial small subunit ribosomal RNA", at positions 28 to 507 of the family's 1533-position model. The record is from RNAcentral.
GAUGAACGCUGGCGGCGUGCUUAACACAUGCAAGUCGAGCGAGAAGUUUUGAAAAGAUUCUUCGGAUGAAAUUUAAAAUGGAAAGCGGCGGACGGGUGAGUAACGCGUAGGCAACCUGCCCCAUACAAAGGGAUAGCAUUUGGAAACGAAUAUUAAUACCUUAUGAAACUUAACUAGUGCAUGCUAGGUAGGUCAAAGAUUUAUCGGUAUGGGAUGGGCCUGCGUCUGAUUAGCUAGUUGGUGAGGUAACGGCUCACCAAGGCGACGAUCAGUAGCCGACCUGAGAGAGUGAACGGCCACAUUGGAACUGAGACACGGUCCAAACUCCUACGGGAGGCAGCAGUGGGGAAUAUUGCACAAUGGGGGAAACCCUGAUGCAGCAACGCCGCGUGAACGAUGAAGGCCUUUGGGUCGUAAAGUUCUGUUCUAGGUGAUGAAAACUGACAGUAACCUAGGAGAAAGCCCCGGCUAACUCCGUG